Long non-coding RNA from Musa acuminata AAA Group (dessert banana), 803 nucleotides. RefSeq lists it as uncharacterized. The record is from RefSeq and is a predicted model, not a curated record. Lineage: Eukaryota; Viridiplantae; Streptophyta; Magnoliopsida; Zingiberales; Musaceae. The transcript has 3 exons.
GCGAUCUCUUGAAGGAUAGGAAAAGAGGAGAGAGUCUAAUUCUUCUUGCAAAUCGAUAUCGUUGUGACUUUCGAAUCCUCUGACGAUGGUGCAGCACCUGUUGAUGAUAUCGAAUGAAUGGAGAAGAAAGGACUGACAGCAGGAAGCAAAGCAAAGAAACAAGCUUCAAAUGACUACAGAGAGCUUAUUUGUUCUCUUAGGAGCUCUCAGAAGGCAGGACUUCAUUUUCAAGGCCAAACUACUGCAUCUUCGGAAAUUUCCAACAAAUAGCUUCAGUAUCUACAUGAUUGUAAAUGGAUCAAAUCACAAGCAACUGCAUCCGGUAUCAGAGAUCUUAUCCUCUCAACACGAGAGCAGUCUUCAAGCUCGACAUCAACUAAAGAAGUGUGAUCGUAGGAGAUACACAGGUAGUCAGGGGGGAGCUGUAAGCAGAUGGUUUGUCUGCAUCCCUCGUCGGCAUUCACAAGACCUGGUUGUCUGACCACAACUGCGUGCGUGCAGGAGAAGCCAUCAGAGAUUACCAUGCUACAACUCUGACCACAUAGAUGAGGAAAAAGGAAGUAGUCGAGGCCAGACAGGAGGAUGACUCCAUUGACGAAAGAAAGCUUCUUCGUCCUGUUGUAGACCAUUGCAGUCGAGGAAUUCUUGUAUCUGCAUUGCCGUCGUGUCUCUCACGAUGAUCCAGUCUAUGUUAUGAUUUCUUGGGCUAAUCUUUUGCAGAUUUGCAUCAGAAUUCAUCUGAUCCGUUAGGUAUAGUAGGUCGUCCGUCUAUACGAUGAUGGGUGGAGUUGACCGAACAUUUU